RNAcentral lists this transfer-messenger RNA (358 nucleotides) under Eubacteriales Family XIII. Incertae Sedis bacterium. It matches the Rfam family "transfer-messenger RNA". Rfam says of the family: Bacterial tmRNA, also known as 10Sa RNA or SsrA, is named for its dual tRNA and mRNA-like properties. Its role is to liberate the mRNA from a stalled ribosome. To accomplish this part of the tmRNA is used as a reading frame that ends in a translation stop signal. Lineage: Bacteria; Bacillati; Bacillota; Clostridia; Peptostreptococcales; Anaerovoracaceae. The record is from RNAcentral.
GGGGAUGUAAAGGUUUCGACGGGGGUGCGGAAGCGGGAUAAGCGAGCCGUAGUUGCCGAGUCUACGUAAAAAGCGGUACGUUAAAGAUAAACGAUAAAACUGAAAAAACAUUCGCAUUAGCAGCAUAGUCUGCCCGCGACGUCGGCCCUGAUUUACCGAUAGGUCAUCGACCCGGCGCCAAAAUAUCGGAAAACUCUGCGCGAGUUCCCGGUAGCGUAGGGGAAUAACGGGAUAGCUGAGUUCACGACUUGCCGUGUGACGCGUGAAUGAGGCGAAUAAAACAAGCACCGGCUGCGCUCGGAGAAAGUCCCGACAGAAGUGCUUUCGGACGUGGGUUCGACUCCCACCAUCUCCACCA